RNAcentral lists this transfer RNA (94 nucleotides) under Pseudomonas sp. SL4(2022). RNAcentral describes it as "tRNA-OTHER". Lineage: Bacteria; Pseudomonadati; Pseudomonadota; Gammaproteobacteria; Pseudomonadales; Pseudomonadaceae. The record is from RNAcentral.
AAGCCCGUAGUUGCUGGCUUCCAGCUUUGACGACAUGUAGUGCCGAAAUUUCAUAAUGCUGGGGUCCGGGGUUCAAGUCCCUGCGUAGCCACCA